CGCUGGCACAGCAUGAAACAUGACGCUCUGCGAGGCUGACCUAUGUGGGAAGAUUCCAGGUUCGUGUCUGGAGACCUCCCUAGAUAAAUCGGAAUGGCCACUGAGGAAGAAUGGCUACAUCUGUGAAGGCUAUAAAAAGCGAUGAAGCACUGUCAUUUUGAUUCCCAUAAGCACAUGGUUUUACAGAACUGGAUCGCUCGCAUUUGGACAUGCCAUUUUGAAACGUAUAUUGUACACUCUGAACUGCACACUCCCAGCGUGGCAAAUGCCUUCAGGAAGUUAACUGGAAUUAGUGAUGGAAAAAUCUGACAGAGCCAGAGCACAAAACACAGAACCUCACAUACAGAAGACAUUCAGUGCAAGAACUGGCAUAUAAACAGCUUGGCUUAGGGAAACAGAGGCGUGAGAGUUUAACCUCCACACAAAUCACAUGAAGAUGGAUUGCAUAAGCACGGACUCUGCAGCCAGACUGCCUGGAUACAAAUCCCAGUUCUGCUAUACUGCAUCUCUCUGCUCUGUAAAAAGCGGCUACUAGCAGUA
This is a long non-coding RNA of Tupaia belangeri chinensis (Chinese tree shrew), 540 nucleotides long. RefSeq lists it as uncharacterized. The transcript has 3 exons. The record is from RefSeq and is a predicted model, not a curated record. Lineage: Eukaryota; Metazoa; Chordata; Mammalia; Scandentia; Tupaiidae.